This 492-nucleotide ribosomal RNA is filed under the name uncultured bacterium. Its description in RNAcentral is "partial 16S ribosomal RNA". It matches the Rfam family "Bacterial small subunit ribosomal RNA", at positions 29 to 507 of the family's 1533-position model. The record is from RNAcentral.
AGUGAACGCUGGCGGUAGGCCUAACACAUGCAAGUCGAACGGCAGCACAGUAAGAGCUUGCUCUUACGGGUGGCGAGUGGCGGACGGGUGAGGAAUACAUCGGAAUCUACUUUUUCGCGGGGGAUAACGUAGGGAAACUUACGCUAAUACCGCAUACGACCUACGGGUGAAAGCAGGGGAUCUUCGGACCUUGCGCGAUUGAAUGAGCCGAUGUCGGAUUAGCUAGUUGGCGGGGUAAAGGCCCACCAAGGCGACGAUCCGUAGCUGGUCUGAGAGGAUGAUCAGCCACACUGGAACUGAGACACGGUCCAGACUCCUACGGGAGGCAGCAGUGGGGAAUAUUGGACAAUGGGCGAAAGCCUGAUCCAGCCAUACCGCGUGGGUGAAGAAGGCCUUCGGGUUGUAAAGCCCUUUUGUUGGGAAAGAAAAGCAGCAGGUUAAUACCCCGCUGUUCUGACGGUACCCAAAGAAUAAGCACCGGCUAACUUCGUG